CCUACGGGAGGCUGCAGUGAGGAAUAUUGGUCAAUGGCCGGAAGGCUGAACCAGCCAAGCCGCGUGAAGGACGAAGGUGCCAAGCAUUUUAAACUUCUUUUGUCAAGGGACAAAAUCAGGCUCGAGAGCCUGACCGAGGGUACUUGAAGAAAAAGCAUCGGCUAACUCGGUGCCAGCAGCGGCGGUAAUACGGGGGAUGCGAGCGUUAUCCGGAUUGAUUGGGUUUAAAGGGUGCGUAGGCGGGCUGUUAAGUCAGCGGUAAAAGCCCGGGGCUCAACCCCGGCGAGCCGUUGAAACUGGCAGUCUUGAGAUGUCGAGAGGUAUGCGGAAUGCGCAGUGUAGCGGUGAAAUGCUUAGAGAUUGCGCAGAACUCCGAUUGCGAAGGCGGCAUACCGGCGGCGAUCUGACGCUGAGGCACGAAAGCGUGGGUAUCGAACAGGAUUAGAUACCCCUGUAGUC
Molecule: ribosomal RNA, 459 nt
Filed under: uncultured bacterium
Lineage: Bacteria
Description: partial 16S ribosomal RNA
Rfam family: Bacterial small subunit ribosomal RNA
Source: RNAcentral